This 855-nucleotide ribosomal RNA is filed under the name Triticum aestivum (bread wheat). Its description in RNAcentral is "partial small subunit ribosomal RNA". The record is from RNAcentral. Lineage: Eukaryota; Viridiplantae; Streptophyta; Magnoliopsida; Poales; Poaceae.
AUGGCAGACACAACAAGGUUGCUUGUCUUUGAGCAAGAAAAAGACAAAUACUACAUAGUUACCCAAGCUGAGAACUACCCUGUAAAAGAACGCCGGAAAAGGUUAUACCUAGUGCAAGUUGGACUGAACGAAGAAGAGUACUCCUGCAUCUGUUGUUCAUUCCAGAAAGAUGGACUGUUGUGCUCACACAUACUAAGAGUAAUGAUCCAUCUCAACAUCGAGAAGAUACCAGAAAAAUACAACAUUGACAGAUGGAGGAAAAAUGACUACAAGCUCGAUAUUACAAAGACACCAGCUAUUGCAGUAGAGAACUCCACACUAAGGUACAAUGUGUUAGCAAGGAAAUUGGUGCAUGUGGCAUCAAUAGCUUCAAAGAAGAAGAGGAAGUAUGAAUAUCUGCUGGGAGAAUUGGACAGGAUACAGAAAAGAUUGCGAGAAAUGGAUGAUGAAGAAGAAACUGGAGAUGAGGGUCAGAGUGUAACCACAAGAACAGUCACUUUUAUACCAACAACAGGGGGUGAAGAGGGGACAACCACGACACUGACAAUACAAGACCCAGAUAUAGCCAAAACAAAGGGUAGGCCAAGGAUGCUAACUAUUCGCGAAGCAAUAAAGCAGAACAAGUUCUACAAAUGCUCGCACUGUGGGUCACAAAAGCACACUAUCAAGAAUUGCAGCAACCUUGACAAGCAAUACAAUCUAUCCAGAAGCAACAGACGAAAGCAGCCGAACCCUAGGAAUGUAAAGAAAGGUGGGGAGAAGGAUGACAGCAAGGAAAGGAACCGAGGAAAGAAGAAGAUGGACGAAUCAGCAACAAACAGAGGCUUAGGGGACAAGAAUCUGAGGAGGACAUAG